CUUCCUGCUUUCAUAUGCUAUGUGCACUGCUUUUCCGUCUUAGCCUUUAUUCUUCUCAUUUCCUCCUCUCUAAAUCUCCUAGCAGGCGCCUAUUCUCCUCCUUGGCUACUACUAUGGCCGUCUCUCACCCCAAAGACGAAGCCUAUCUCAAAGCAGUGAUCGAAAAACGCAUCAAGUUCUUCGAAUCCAUUAAGUCACAGCAGCUUACCCACCUUCAAUCCCUCGAGCACGGCCUCAUCAAGAUUACUUUGGCAGACGGGAAAGUAAAGGAAGGCAAGAGAUGGUUAUCGUCUCCGAUGGAUAUUGCCAGAGAGAUUUCUAAGAGUUUGGCGGCCAAUGCCUUGAUUGCUCAAGUUGAUGGGACUCUUUGGGACAUGAACAGGCCGUUAGAGAGCGAUUGUGAGCUCAAGAUUUUUACAUUUGACAGUGAUGAAGGGCGCGAUACCUUUUGGCAUUCAAGCGCUCACAUUCUUGGCCAGUCACUGGAGAUGGAGUAUGGUUGCAAGCUUUGUAUUGGACCCUGUACAACAAGAGGGGAGGGAUUCUAUUAUGAUGCAUUCUAUGGUGAAUUGGGCUUGAACGAUGAUCAUUUUAAGCAAAUUGAAACUGGGGCACUGAAAGCUGUUGCGGAAAAGCAACCUUUUGAGCGCAUUGAAUUAUCAAGGGAACAAGCACUUGAGAUGUUUUCAGAAAAUAAUUUCAAGGUUGAAAUCAUCAAUGAUCUUCCUGCAGACAAGACUAUAACUGUAUACAGGUGUGGCCCAUUGGUAGAUUUAUGUCGAGGACCCCAUAUACCUAAUACAUCCUUCGUGAAAGCAUUCGCAUGUUUGAAGGCUUCAUCAGCCUAUUGGAGGGGUAACAAAGAUCGUGAAAGUUUACAAAGAGUUUAUGGGAUAUCCUAUCCUGAUCAAAAACGAUUGAAGGAGUACAUUCAACAGUUGGAAGAAGCAAAGAAGUAUGACCACAGACUGUUGGGAACAAAACAGGAGCUUUUCUUUUGUCAUCCACUGAGUCCGGGAAGUUGGUUUUUCCUUCCACAUGGAACUCGAAUUUACAAUAAAUUAAUGGAAUUUAUACGUGCUCAAUAUAGAGACAGAGGAUAUGAAGAGGUUAAAUCUCCAAAUAUCUAUAACAUGAAACUUUGGGAGACAUCUGGCCAUGCUGCAAAUUAUAAGGAGAAUAUGUUUUUGCUCGAGAUUGAAAAGCAAGAGUUUGGCCUGAAACCAAUGAAUUGCCCUGGGCAUUGUUUGAUAUUUCAACACAGAGUCCGUU
This 1272-nucleotide unclassified non-coding RNA is filed under the name Hevea brasiliensis (rubber tree). Lineage: Eukaryota; Viridiplantae; Streptophyta; Magnoliopsida; Malpighiales; Euphorbiaceae. The record is from RNAcentral.